GAGAACAAGUUAUAGCACAGCUUAAAUUUUGUCGAGAAAUAUAUGAGGGUUAUGUUCCAAUGACCUAUGACGAGUACCUGAAGAAGAUGAGCAAGAAAGGGGAAUGGGGUGAUCAUGUUACACUACAAGCUGCUGCAGACUGGUUUGGAGUUAAGAUAUUUGUGAUAACAUCAUUCAAGGAUACAUGUUCAAUUGAAAUACUUCCACAAGUUCAAAAGUCCAAUCGGAUUAUUUUCUUGAGCUUUUGGGCUGAAGUGCA
RNAcentral lists this unclassified non-coding RNA (259 nucleotides) under Hevea brasiliensis (rubber tree). The record is from RNAcentral. Lineage: Eukaryota; Viridiplantae; Streptophyta; Magnoliopsida; Malpighiales; Euphorbiaceae.